Molecule: unclassified non-coding RNA, 148 nt
Organism: Pongo abelii (Sumatran orangutan)
Lineage: Eukaryota; Metazoa; Chordata; Mammalia; Primates; Hominidae
Rfam family: Metazoan signal recognition particle RNA
About the family: The signal recognition particle (SRP) is a universally conserved ribonucleoprotein. It is involved in the co-translational targeting of proteins to membranes. The eukaryotic SRP consists of a 300-nucleotide 7S RNA and six proteins: SRPs 72, 68, 54, 19, 14, and 9.
Source: Ensembl
GUCGGGCAUGGUAGUGCAUGCCUGUAAUCCCAGCUACUCUGGAGGCUGAGGCAGGAGACUCACUUGAACCCAGGAGGUGGAGGUUGCAGUGAGCCAAGUUCAUGCCACUGCACUCCAGCCUGGGAGACAGAGUGAGACUUUGUCUCAC